UAAAUAUACAUACUCCAUCAGUUCAGCCUCGCUAAAAAAAUUUCCUCCACGUUAAGCUGCCUCUCGGUUGGGUUGGGCUGAGCAAAACAUCUCAGAAACAAGUGGUCUCCUAUAUACUCGCAAGCAGCAUAAUUAAUUAUUUGGAUCGACAUACCAAACCAGAGCUGGACAUGACUGACGCGACUGACAUGCUUUUCAUCAGCAGGAAAGGAGCAGGGUGCCUGCGAGUUGCGCCACCGGCAGGGGUCAACUGGCCUAUCAGGUUCGGGUCAAAACACCUUCUAGAGUGGGAGCAAUGGAGGAGGAUCCUGGCCUUUGACCGCCGGAUCGGUUGGCGGUCAACCUCUCUCGCACAGACCACACCACACCACGCCAGAGCAAAAUCCUAAACUUAAAACCCAAGGCACCCGUCAGCUGGAUGCUCUGUUUUACCCACUGGACCAGAUUUUCCACGAAAAUGAAACUCGUCAAUGGCUUUCAAAACAGAGUAGCUAGCAACUAGUAGCUGGCUUGGAUGCCUGAGUUGGACCGAUCCACGGAUAUGCUAGCUCGUUCAAUGUUUUUAUAUGCCUUGACUUGAUUUUGUUUUUUCAAAGUUCACAAGGCUUGUGCUAAUGUGUAGAAAAAGAUUUUGAAUCGGAUAAGAAGACCUGCAAUGUGAAAAGGG
Molecule: long non-coding RNA, 667 nt
Filed under: Hordeum vulgare
Lineage: Eukaryota; Viridiplantae; Streptophyta; Magnoliopsida; Poales; Poaceae
Description: long non-coding RNA (HVUL_LNC010489)
Source: RNAcentral